This 328-nucleotide ribosomal RNA is filed under the name uncultured bacterium. Its description in RNAcentral is "bacterial SSU rRNA". It matches the Rfam family "Bacterial small subunit ribosomal RNA", at positions 28 to 342 of the family's 1533-position model. The record is from RNAcentral.
GACGAACGCUGGCGGCGUGCUUAACACAUGCAAGUCGAACGGGGCGAAGUGAUAGCUUGCUAUUAUGGAGCCUAGUGGCAAACGGGUGAGUAACGCGUAGGCAACCUGCCCUUCAGAUGGGGACAACACCUCGAAAGGGGUGCUAAUACCGAAUGACGUUUCCUAGUCGCAUGACCUGGAACCAAAGGCUGGGCAACCGGUCACUGAAGGAUGGGCCUGCGUCUGAUUAGCUAGUUGGUGGGGUAACGGCCCACCAAGGCGACGAUCAGUAGCCGGUCUGAGAGGAUGAACGGCCACAUUGGGACUGAGAUACGGCCCAGACUCCUAC